Molecule: small RNA, 459 nt
Filed under: Arabidopsis thaliana (thale cress)
Lineage: Eukaryota; Viridiplantae; Streptophyta; Magnoliopsida; Brassicales; Brassicaceae
Description: ATSL078080
Source: RNAcentral
UAUAUAUAAAUCAAUCUUACUAGUUUUCUUAUUUUGAUUUCAUGAAUUUUUAUUUAUUUUUGGUAAAAAGUGAAAUUUUAUACCAUUUUUGAUUUGUGACAGAAGUUACAAAGAAAAGUAGAAACGGAUAAAAGCACUACAGAAAAUUUAAGACAAUAUUACUACUCAAAAAGAUUCGGAUCGAAACAUAGUGAAAAAUGGCCAAGUCGCAAAGUGAAACACCGAUUCCGAAUUCGUGAAACCCGGACAUUUGUGUGAUUGCCAUAAAACCGAAACUUGGAAUCCUCAUCGUUGUUGCCACGAAGCUAACUAUCUGAGGCCCGUCCACAAAACCUCAAAGAUAGAAGUGUAAGACUUCUCCGAAAACUAACGCAAAAAAAACACUUAGAUCUAUGUGUCGCCUCUAUUCAACAUUCAGGAAACCUUGCCAUAGCACCCAGGAGCUCACCUACACCAAUU